Molecule: transfer RNA, 56 nt
Filed under: Apteryx haastii (Great spotted kiwi)
Lineage: Eukaryota; Metazoa; Chordata; Aves; Apterygiformes; Apterygidae
Description: tRNA-Thr
Source: RNAcentral
AAUAGUUUAUAGAAAACAUUGGUCUUGUAAACCAAAGACUGAAGAAUACACCUCUU